Molecule: ribosomal RNA, 491 nt
Filed under: uncultured bacterium
Lineage: Bacteria
Description: partial 16S ribosomal RNA
Rfam family: Bacterial small subunit ribosomal RNA
Source: RNAcentral
GUGCACGCUGGCGGUAGGCCUAACACAUGCAAGUCGAACGGCAGCACAGUAAGAGCUUGCUCUUACGGGUGGCGAGUGGCGGACGGGUGAGGAAUACAUCGGAAUCUACUUUUUCGUGGGGGAUAACGUAGGGAAACUUACGCUAAUACCGCAUACGACCUACGGGUGAAAGCAGGGGAUCUUCGGACCUUGCGCGAUUGAAUGAGCCGAUGUCGGAUUAGCUGGUUGGCGGGGUAAAGGCCCACCAAGGCGACGAUCCGUAGCUGGUCUGAGAGGAUGAUCAGCCACACUGGAAUUGAGACACGGUCCAGACUCCUACGGGAGGCAGCAGUGGGGAAUAUUGGACAAUGGGCGCAAGCCUGAUCCAGCCAUACCGCGUGGGUGAAGAAGGCCUUCGGGUUGUAAAGCCCUUUUGUUGGGAAAGAAAAGCAGCAGGUUAAUACCCCGCUGUUCUGACGGUACCCAAAGAAUAAGCACCGGCUAACUUCGUG